GCCGUCAGGGCUUGGCCCAUAAAGCGUCUGGGACAUUUCCCCAGUGGAGUGAGAGUUCACAUCAGCGGGCCAGUGUAAUUUACAGAAGGCUGGGAAAUAGCAGAGAAGAGAGGGAGAGAGAAAAAGAGUAGGAGAGACACAAAGAGUAAGACAGAUAGAGAGGGAAAUGCGAGAGAGAGAGAGAGACAGAGAAAGAGAGAUGGAGAGAGGGACAGAGAGAGAGACACACAGAGAAAGACAGAGAGGGAGAUGGAGAGAGAGACACAGAGAAAUAGGGAUGGAGAGAGGGACAGAGAGAGAGACACACAGAGAAAGACAGAUAGAGAGGGAGAUGGAGAGAGAGACACAGAGAAAGAGAGAUAGAGAGAGAGACACAGAGAAAGAGAGAUAGAGAUGGAGAGAGAGACACAGAGAAAGAGAGAUAGAGAGAGAGACACAGAGAAAGAGAGAUAGAGAGGGAGAUGGAGAGAGAGACACAGAGAAAGACAGAUAGAGAGGGA
Oncorhynchus tshawytscha (Chinook salmon) is the source of this 500-nucleotide long non-coding RNA. The record is from Ensembl. Lineage: Eukaryota; Metazoa; Chordata; Actinopteri; Salmoniformes; Salmonidae.